Molecule: non-coding RNA, 587 nt
Organism: Cyanistes caeruleus (blue tit)
Lineage: Eukaryota; Metazoa; Chordata; Aves; Passeriformes; Paridae
Source: RefSeq, a predicted model, not a curated record
GGUGCCACGGCCUGGAGCUGCUGCUGGGGAUGUGGGAAUGUCUUCUCCAAAGUCAUUCAUGUUGUGCAUUGUCCAGGUGCUCCAUCCUGGGACAGGACAGGAAAUUCCUGUACGGAGAUGUGUGCAGCGUUACUGUUCCAUACAGAUCCCCUGGCAACUUUUGGAAGCUCUAAAUUCCCUGGGGUUUUUUUGCCAGGUCACCCUUGCAGUCUGAUGUCCCUUUUCAUCCCACUGAGAGAACCCCUGUGCACAUCGAGGACACAGAAUAUUCCUUUAAAAGGUCUGUCCUGGGCUAUGAGGAGAGGAGCAGCUCCAUGAAUCCUGAGGGCCCAUCCUACCACCAGCCCUACUGGGAUGAGACAAGGCUCCUGGACUCAUCCAUCCUCAGUGAGAGGGGCCAAGGAGCUCCUGGCCAUGACGCCCCCCCAGAGCCCCCCAGGCUGAAGGAUCCCACUGAGCCCAGCAGGGCCGGGUCUGAACUGUGCUCCCAGGACACUGCUGGCAGCAGGGACAGGGAUGUGGGAAUGUCAUCCUGCCUGCAGAGGGAGGAAACCACGGCAGGAAGGCAAGAGAAAUAAUGGGGCUGC